CCCCUGGUGGUCUAGUGGUUAGGAUGCAGCGCUCUCACUGCCGUGGCCCAGGUUCGAUUCCCGGUCAGGGAA
Molecule: transfer RNA, 72 nt
Filed under: Manacus vitellinus (golden-collared manakin)
Lineage: Eukaryota; Metazoa; Chordata; Aves; Passeriformes; Pipridae
Rfam family: tRNA
About the family: Transfer RNA (tRNA) molecules are approximately 80 nucleotides in length. Their secondary structure includes four short double-helical elements and three loops (D, anti-codon, and T loops).
Source: Rfam by way of RNAcentral